CGAGGUUUGUAAAUGGUAAAUAACUUAUUCGAGGUUUGUAGCCAUAUUUAAGUAACUCGCUUACUUUGUUUCAGUGUUUGAGUAAAUGUAUAAUGUUAUUAAGUAAUAAUUAAUAUAAGUUACUGCGCGAGCUCAUUACGGCCGUUUCUCAAUCCGAAGGCUACUGGAGGUGGCAUUUGUAGGCUGUAUACGUCAUCAAGACUGUCAGAUUUAAGAAUAUUAACAAUUCUAAAGUUGACUAUUAUUCUUAGUUAAUCGUAAAUUGUUGUAAUAUGCGUAUGACUUGCGAAUGUAAUGCUCAUUUAACUUAAAUAAACCAGGCUUGAUGACGUAUGCAGCCUGCAUAUGCGACCUCCGCAGGAUGCAGCCUUCCGUUUCAGAAACGGCCUACAAGUGUGAGCGUGCGCGAGAUUCUGUCUGAAUUGAUUCUUUAGUAAUGGCAAAGCAAAAAUUUACUGUCGUGGUGAUUAAACGCAUUUUAAAGUUUAAAUUAAAACGCCAAACUUACCUUUCCAGGGGUUUCUGUUCCUGCAGUCUUUCAGGGGUGCUGGCGCGUAUGACGAUGCGGACAUGAACAGCACACUACAGUAUACCGCCACCUACUGUACUGUAGUACAAUAACGUCUUUUAAACAUCUAAACAUGUCCUCCAAAAAGGUUUCCUGUGCUGUUUUGCUCCAUUUUACUGAACAAAAUAAGGCUGAGGUAGCACCAUCCUUGUGGUUAGAGUGAAAGAAUGUGGGUAUUGAGACCAAAAUAAACAAUGUGCCAUUCUGGACAAACAGCUGUGGACAAUAUAUGCAGUCAGAGUAGCCCAUUUUCUCACACAGACCUGAAGAUAAGAUUUCCAGUUUAAAAGUGAAGAAAAUGAAUCAUUAUUAACAGCAAAUAGGAGUAUUUCUCAGCUGAAAAGCCAGAUGAGGAGCAACCAGUAAGAAAAAGCAAAAAGAUGUUUUGAUGUUGCCUGAGGCACCUUAUUUUCCAUUUCAUGCACAAUCACAAAUGCAGCACAUCAAUCAAUUUCUUCCAACCAGCGAAUCAAGAAAUCUUGGAGUGGAGAAUCAUUCUGAAAGUAGACCAAAUCCAGGACAACAUCACAACAGUGGUCGGAAAAAUGCAGCAAGCCAAGCUGACUUUCAAAAGAUGAUUCGUUAUCUGUUUCUUCAGAGGGGAGGCAGUUUGGGAGAUGGGAAUUAGGAGGAUGCUACAGUUACACAGGGCAAAUUUCAGCAGCUCAGUUUCAAACUUGCAACUAACAUUGAGUUAAAGUUAGAAGACCACGGAAAUAUUUGACAUCGGAGUCCAGCAGACAGCCAGAGACACGCACACACACGCAGCUGAAGCGCUUUUGACUGACGCGUACGGGAGAUCCGGCACGCGCACGGGAGCUCGCGCACGCUCACACAAACACGGAGCACAGGAUAAUUACAACUGUUUAAUUAAAAUAAAAGAACUUUGUGGUAUACAAUGUUUACCGUGUCUGAUUUCAUUGGUUAGCAAGGAAAUAAAACGACGUGCUGAGGACUUUAGGCGAACGUCCCCUAAAAGUCCCGAAAGUCCGCUGACCGUCCCGCGAACGUCCUCGCAAAAGUCCGGAGGACGUCCUCGCGGAAGUCCGCUCGACGUA
Paramisgurnus dabryanus is the source of this 1626-nucleotide non-coding RNA. The record is from RefSeq and is a predicted model, not a curated record. Lineage: Eukaryota; Metazoa; Chordata; Actinopteri; Cypriniformes; Cobitidae.